GAAAUGCGAUAAGUAAUGUGAAUUGCAGAAUUCCGUGAAUCAUCGAAUCUUUGAACGCACAUUGCGCCCUCUGGUAUUCCGGGGGGCAUGCCUGUCCGAGCGUCAUUGUGAACCCCUCAAGCACGGCUUGUGUGAUGGGCCCUCCCGCGUCUUGGUCGUCAAGACGGGCCCGAAAUGCAGUGGCGGCUUCGCGGUUAUCCGAUCAGCCAGAGCGUAUGGGGACUUUCUCUCUGUCACACGCCCGCGGCGCGGACCGACGCCUGUCGACCUUUAUUCAUCUUUUUCUCGGUUGACCUCGGAUCAGGUAGGGAUACCCGCUGAACUUAAGC
Molecule: unclassified non-coding RNA, 329 nt
Filed under: plant metagenome
Description: partial contains 5.8S ribosomal RNA, internal transcribed spacer 2, and large subunit ribosomal RNA
Rfam family: 5.8S ribosomal RNA (bases 1-105)
Source: RNAcentral